CAUCGAGUCUUUGAACGCAAGUUGCGCCUGAAGCCACUAGGUUGAGGGCACGUCUGCCUGGGCGUCACACAAUGUGUCGCCCCCUUGCAGCUCGCCUUGCACAGGAUGAGUGUURCUAAUGGGGGCGGAUAAUGGCUUCCCGUGCGUAGGUGCGGCCGGCCUAAAUUGUAGUCCCUCAUCUCACGGGGUCACAACAAGUGGUGGUUGAAAAGCUUAAACAAGUUGUGCACACCAUGCGAUGGAGGUGAUGUUUUGGACCCUAAGGCGAUCCCUCUACUGUGAGGAGCGUUCGUCACGACUGCGACCCCAGGUCAGGCGGGGCUACCCGCUGAGUUUAAGCAUAUCAAUAAGCGGAGGAAAAGAAACUAACAAGGAUUCCCUUAGUAACGGCGAGCGAACCGGGAAAAGCCCAAGCUUAGAWUCGAGCGGCUUCGUCGCUCGAAUUGUAGU
This 450-nucleotide ribosomal RNA is filed under the name Decalepis arayalpathra. RNAcentral's name for it is "eukaryotic LSU rRNA". Lineage: Eukaryota; Viridiplantae; Streptophyta; Magnoliopsida; Gentianales; Apocynaceae. The record is from RNAcentral.